CUCAAUGAAAUUUAUAUAGCCGCAACAUUCUUGUGCUAAGGUAGCAUAAUCAUUUGUCUUUUAAUUGAAGACUAGAACAAAAGAUUUAAUAUUUUUAUUUCUUUCUUAUAUAUAUAUAUUAUAACCUAUUUCAAAUAUUAAAAAAUAUUUAUAACUUAAAAAGACAAUAAGACCCUAUUGAACUUAACUAAAGUUAAACUGGGGUAGUUGAUUAAAUAUAAUUUUAAUCCAAUCUUUAAAAACUUCUAAUAAAAUUAAAAUAACCAAGUUACCAUAGGGAUAACAGCGUAAUAACUUUUUCAAGAUCUUAUUUAAAAAUUUGUUUACGACCUCGAUGUUGAAUUAAUAAACUAUUAAAUGUAACAAUUUAAUAAGAAAGUC
RNAcentral lists this ribosomal RNA (381 nucleotides) under Draconarius sp. ZZ187. Its description in RNAcentral is "partial 16S ribosomal RNA". The record is from RNAcentral. Lineage: Eukaryota; Metazoa; Arthropoda; Arachnida; Araneae; Agelenidae.